GUAUUCUCUGACUUCUCUGACUAUACAGUAACAGUCUACCAUAUUUAAAGUUGGUGUGUGGGGGAUGUGGCCUUUUGGGUGACGUCAAGCCUGGCCAGCUUCUAUUGUCUUUUAAUUAAAAACUACCCCCUUUCCUGGGAAGUCCUUCAGAGGCCUGGACACAUGCUGUGCUACAAACACUAACAUUUCACACCUGUCUAAAGAACAAAAG
This is a long non-coding RNA of Alosa sapidissima (American shad), 211 nucleotides long. RefSeq lists it as uncharacterized. The record is from RefSeq and is a predicted model, not a curated record. The transcript is spliced from 3 exons. NCBI's taxonomy places the organism in Eukaryota, Metazoa, Chordata, Actinopteri, Clupeiformes, Clupeidae.